Molecule: long non-coding RNA, 316 nt
Filed under: Equus caballus (horse)
Lineage: Eukaryota; Metazoa; Chordata; Mammalia; Perissodactyla; Equidae
Description: lncRNA (ENSECAG00000047307.1)
Source: RNAcentral
CCUCCGUCGCAGCAAUAGCCUGGGCAAAGGUCCUCCACAGGCAGUGGGCCUUAAAAGCUGCUAUAAGUCCUUGAUCCAUUGGUUGGAUCAAAGAGAUCAUGUUUGGAGGGAGAAACACCGUUUUGAUAUUGGGAUGAAGAUCACCAAUAAAAGGAGGAGGUCCAGGGGCAUUGGCAACAGUAAGCAAAAUCUUGAAAGUCACACCACCUUCUCUUCUGUGUGUCAGUCGCCCCUGCCUCCCUCUUCUAAGAAGAUAUGUGGUUGUAUUGUAUUUAGAGCCUACAUGGAUAAUCCAGGCUAAUCUUCUCAUCCCAAG